UAAAGAAACUAUCUGCAACUGUUGAAACC
Molecule: non-coding RNA, 29 nt
Filed under: Mus musculus (house mouse)
Lineage: Eukaryota; Metazoa; Chordata; Mammalia; Rodentia; Muridae
Source: RNAcentral